Molecule: long non-coding RNA, 1219 nt
Organism: Peromyscus californicus insignis
Lineage: Eukaryota; Metazoa; Chordata; Mammalia; Rodentia; Cricetidae
Exons: 2
Source: RefSeq, a predicted model, not a curated record
UUUGGGUUUGUUAUUAUUUGCUAAGGAGGGUAUGGCUGGGACUUUGGGCGCAACUCGCUUUUACGCAUGUGCCAGGCAUGGGGCGAGAGCGCGGCACACUCGCACACACGCAGCCGGGCGCGGACGGCGGCUGGGGAUCCGCUCGCACCGGCUGCCGCUGCGGCUCCUCGGUUUUCUUCCUGGCAGAGGGAGCCGAGCGGGUGCCGGCCGAGGCGGCGGGAGCCUGGGUCGGGGCUCCGCGGGCCUGCCUCCCCUCUUGAUGGAAAUGUGGAGUGCGCUUCCUCUCCUGCCCCCAAGAGGGACCUGGCUGGAAAAUAAAAGAGUCCUCACCUCCUGGAAAAAAGAACGGGGCGGGUGACGCGUUGUGGUGAAUUGCUUCCAAAGUGAGGUGGAGCCCCUGAACGUCCAAGAAGGGGAGGGCGAAGCUGUGGUGCGGGGACUCCUUACCUGGACGCCCGCCUGGCACAGGCGUCCCGCAUACAGCAACUUCCUAGCGAUCGCUGGCCGACAGGGAUCGCCUUUGUGCUUUCCAACACUUAGGCUGUCGUGGAAAUGAUUUUCCAGUGUCAACACGUUUUCACCGUCACUGUGCUUCGGGGGCCGGCUGGGUCGGAGCGGACUAAGUUAGCAAAGUUACGAUGGGGCGGUCGGCUUUGUACGUGGAGAAUCGCACGCGGGAACUGUCCGAGACCCUCUUGGCUCUGGCUUCCUGGCUAAGAGGGACUCCGCAGUAGGCAGAAGUAAUUUGAUUCAAAUAUUGUACAAAUAUUGUACUACCGUUUAGACCGUAGUACUGACUGCCUUCAAGCAAAUCUUUGCUCACCCCUUCCCGUGGUGUGUGUGUGUGUGUGUGUGUGUGUGUGUGUGUGUGUGUGUGUGUGUGUGUGUGUGUGGUGUUUGCCCUUGGUGGCACUCAGGGAGACACAAUAGUUUAGCAUACUCAUUCUUUAAGAAACGUUUGCCUUCUGUUUUCAAUCAACUAAGCUGGCAGCCUGAGAUACAAGUUUAUUUGAGAAUACCCUCUGGGUACCAAGCAUGCUUGGAUUGUUUUAGCAAAUUAAAAAUGAGCAAAAUGCUUUUACCUUCUCAGCAGUAGACUCCUUAAGAGACCUCCUGUUUCGUGUGUUAUGUGUGUGCGUUCCGGGGGAAGCAUUUUCUGUGUGUAUCUCAAAUGUUUUUAAUGUGGGAAAGAAGAAAAUAAAGGAUUUUUAAAGGCUGA